RNAcentral lists this ribosomal RNA (486 nucleotides) under uncultured bacterium. Its description in RNAcentral is "partial 16S ribosomal RNA". It matches the Rfam family "Bacterial small subunit ribosomal RNA", at positions 30 to 507 of the family's 1533-position model. The record is from RNAcentral.
AUUGAACGCUGGCGGCAUGCCUUACACAUGCAAGUCGAACGGCAGCACGGGUGCUUGCACCUGGUGGCGAGUGGCGCACGGGUGAGUAAUACAUCGGAACAUGUCCUGUAGUGGGGGAUAGCCCGGCGAAAGCCGGAUUAAUACCGCAUACGAUCUACGGAUGAAAGCGGGGGACCUUCGGGCCUCGCGCUAUAGGGUUGGCCGAUGGCUGAUUAGCUAGUUGGUGGGGUAAAGGCCUACCAAGGCGACGAUCAGUAGCUGGUCUGAGAGGACGACCAGCCACACUGGGACUGAGACACGGCCCAGACUCCUACGGGAGGCAGCAGUGGGGAAUUUUGGACAAUGGGCGAAAGCCUGAUCCAGCAAUGCCGCGUGUGUGAAGAAGGCCUUCGGGUUGUAAAGCACUUUUGUCCGGAAAGAAAUCCUUGGCCCUAAUACGGUCGGGGGAUGACGGUACCGGAAGAAUAAGCACCGGCUAACUACGUG